Molecule: unclassified non-coding RNA, 244 nt
Filed under: Moritella viscosa
Lineage: Bacteria; Pseudomonadati; Pseudomonadota; Gammaproteobacteria; Alteromonadales; Moritellaceae
Description: putative sRNA
Source: RNAcentral
CUCUUUCUCUUCAAGAAGUCCAGAUGUCGAAGAGCAGAACAAGGCUCAGUUCUUUUACUGUCGUAAUGAUUCUCUGAAGAAGUCUUUUGUUGUCGUGCGCCGCCAGCCACGAGCGAAGCGAAGUGCCCGAAGGGGACAACACCCGCGCUAUCUUUCCAGUCUUUUAUUAUUAGUCUCUUCACUGCUCUUCACUAAUCCCUCCAGAUGUUAGUCCCUGUUAUGUCCCGAUUGCGAAAGCAAGCAA